GGGAUGGGUGCAUUUCAAUAGUCAACAGUAGCAAAGCCUUCGCUGGCUUUCUUCUCGUUUCCUCACCUGCACUGAUCUAACGGCACAGGAUAAUAAAUGUGAUGGGAGCCUUUCACCUGCUCAGUGACAAUAAGAAGUGAGGUAAUGAGUUGAGCUAAGGAGACGAGGUAAGGUGAGGAGGCCCCUUUGGAUUCACUCGAGACGCACUUAAGCUGUCAAUGUGAUGCUUACCUGGACGCUCGGGCGGUUGUGGCAAUACCUUCUCUCCUCUAUGGUCCGUUCCACAUUGUCCAACUGGUGCCUGGCAGUAUCCCUCUGGUGAAAAGAGAACGCCGGGUGCAGCGAGGCCAUGGUGAAAAGCAGCGCCAAGUGCUCCAGGGAACCCGACUCUGCCUCCAGUGGAGGCCCACUGGGAUGCUCCAAUCUCCCGGACUUCAUUCCACCAUCGCGAGGGGAAUGUUGAUCAGGAGGAUGACAGGUGUCCCCUGGACAGACAACCUGUAGCAGUGGAGAGCUGUAACUGCCCCCAUGGGAAACCUGGGCCUCCUGGUCUUCUUGGGCCUAUUGUGAUUAAGUAAUACCAUGUUAGACUAGAAAAGUACAUUUCCAGAAGAAAAUGUGGUGUGCUUGCUAGCUUGUUUUAAAGUAUUUAUGGUUAUGAGGUAAGUUAUAGUAGUGGUAGGGACUGCAAUAGAAAUGGUAGUGACUGGUUAUAGUUGAAAAAGUCGGUAGAUGAAGAGAUUGGUUGGUUGUUUGAUUUAUUUGGAUGGGAUAAGAUAGGAUAGCAUGAACAUUUGAAAGUUGUUUUUGUGUGUCUAGCUUGAGCGGUUCAAGAGUUACUGUUGGUGAGUUAUUUUCUGCAAAUGUAUGCACAUUUAUAUAGUUAUAGUUUAUAAAUGGUUGUAAGAAUUUUAUGUUAGGAUAGCCUGAACAUGUGAAAGAUGGUUUGGUGUCUUUAGCUUGAACGGCUCAAUAAUUACUGUUGGUGAGUUAUUUUAUGCACGUUUAUAUAGUUCUAGUUGAAUACAUUUUUAAAGAAUUUAAAGUUAGGAUAGCCUGAACAUGUGAAAGUUGAUUUGGUUUAUUUCCAUUGAAAUGGAUUUGAUUUUAAAUAUUGUUGUAGUUCAAAAAGUAAAAAUACUAUCAAAAAUGUUUUCUGAAGCAAUCUAAGUUGGAGACGUAUGCACAUCUGAAAGUUUGUUUUGUGGUAAUAUCUUAAAGCGUUUAAGCGCAAGAGUGAGCCGAAUAAAUAAAACAAUUAUUUGACUAUGUAAGCCAUUUAAAGUUGCGCUUUGCCUUCAGCAAGCACACCAAUGUAAUUUUUUUUAGACCUUUUUCUCCCCAAUUUCGUGUCUCAUUGCUGCAACUCCCAUAUGGACCCGGGAGAGGCGAAGGU
Molecule: long non-coding RNA, 1396 nt
Organism: Salvelinus namaycush (lake trout)
Lineage: Eukaryota; Metazoa; Chordata; Actinopteri; Salmoniformes; Salmonidae
Exons: 3
Source: RefSeq, a predicted model, not a curated record